RNAcentral lists this long non-coding RNA (400 nucleotides) under Carica papaya (papaya). RNAcentral describes it as "long non-coding RNA (CPAP_LNC010754)". Lineage: Eukaryota; Viridiplantae; Streptophyta; Magnoliopsida; Brassicales; Caricaceae. The record is from RNAcentral.
UAUUAUGAAUAGAAAGCAUACCCUGAAUGAUAGAAGGUGUGGUGGGAACAUCGGGCUCAUCUAGGUGGUAAACAUGUUGUGACAUCUCGACUACUAAUUAAAGCACAAAGGUGUCAGAUAUAGAAACAGAUAUGAGUGCAUAUAAAAUAUAUGUAUGCAGCGGAAUAAGAUAUUACAAUCCCUUACAAAAUAAUAAUAGAGUUCUCAUUUUUACAAUACUGAGGCGAAAACAAAAUUAAUUACAAGCCUCUACAAAAGAUGGACUCAUCAGAGUAUGGGAUAUGGGACAAAACAUGCACUCAUAAUGAUUCAUGGAUCUACAGGAUCCCUAAAGGCUUCAAGGGGUAGAUCAAUGAUCAGUUCCUCACUAUCGUCCUCAUUUGAGGGGGCCAUGGAAAGG